This 65-nucleotide transfer RNA is filed under the name Dipodomys ordii (Ord's kangaroo rat). It matches the Rfam family "tRNA". Rfam says of the family: Transfer RNA (tRNA) molecules are approximately 80 nucleotides in length. Their secondary structure includes four short double-helical elements and three loops (D, anti-codon, and T loops). The record is from Rfam by way of RNAcentral. Lineage: Eukaryota; Metazoa; Chordata; Mammalia; Rodentia; Heteromyidae.
GGUGGCUUAGUGGUAGAGUGCUUGCCUUGCAUGCAGGAAGCCCUGGGUUCGAUUCCUCAGUACCA